This 55-nucleotide ribosomal RNA is filed under the name Salinimicrobium oceani. Its description in RNAcentral is "Salinimicrobium sp. CDJ15-91 partial 23S ribosomal RNA". The record is from RNAcentral. Lineage: Bacteria; Pseudomonadati; Bacteroidota; Flavobacteriia; Flavobacteriales; Flavobacteriaceae.
GUAAAGGCAGUAAUGUCAUAGCCGAGUGAUACUAAUAAUCCGUAUAGCUUAGUGC